AAAACACCCUCAUCUUGUUAUUCAUUAGUUGACCUCAUACUUGCAUACCAACACAUCUCGAAAACUAUUAAUUUAAGACAUCAGAUCUGGAUCUUUUGGACGGUUCUGGAUUAAGAAAACAAGUUGACUUCACACUAAUCGGACCUUUCACACAAAGAGACUUACCACUGCAGAAAUGGUGAGAUUAUUUUUGUAAAUACAGUAUAUCAUGAUUUUAGGCAAUCGUUUUGAAUUGGUUUUAAUGUUAUUUUACCAAAUGUUAUUUUAUCUUUUGAGUUUUUUUUUUUGUUCAAUUGGCCACCACAGUGUGCGGCCCCAUCAAUAAUGCAGUAUUGUUCAUGUGUGCAGGAAGAGGCGCUAACCUGCUACGGCGACUUAAGUAAGUUUGACGUUUGAUUUUAAAGCACACUUUGAUCUGUAAACCUUUUUUUUGUGUAAGACGUUAAUGGAAGUCAAAUGUUGUGCUGUAUCGAGCUGUAAAUACAGUUCCUUUGGGGAAGCGUGUGUGUGUGUGUGUGUGUGUGUGUGUGUGUGUGUGAGAGAGAGAGAGAGAGAUAUUACAUUAGUGUGAGUAUUUACAUUGGUUUAAGAUUUAAAACCGAUACUUUGACAAUACCUGAAAAACCAUAGCCUGUCUUUAAAUCAUGAUUUAACUUCUUUUUUUUUUACUGAAUGCAACGAGAGUAUUAACAUGACUCAAGUAAAGAAACUGGUUCCAACAAGUGAGUUUUUAAAUUGCUGCUGAUAACUGUUUAGGUUGAAAAAAA
Molecule: long non-coding RNA, 767 nt
Organism: Sander lucioperca (pikeperch)
Lineage: Eukaryota; Metazoa; Chordata; Actinopteri; Perciformes; Percidae
Exons: 2
Source: RefSeq, a predicted model, not a curated record